This 266-nucleotide unclassified non-coding RNA is filed under the name Hevea brasiliensis (rubber tree). The record is from RNAcentral. Lineage: Eukaryota; Viridiplantae; Streptophyta; Magnoliopsida; Malpighiales; Euphorbiaceae.
CCCCCCCAAGUAUGGUAUUUCUCCAUAUGCUCCACAGAAUUGCCUUCAUGUGAUGUGACUCCAUAACUAAAUUUCUCCAAUAUGCUUCUCUACUGAGGAACUGUCCAACCAAAAGGUGUUUUCAGCUCUAUUAGCUCCAAAUAGUUCAGAAAAUAUGUUUCUUGCUCCACCAAGUUGUGCUGCCAAUCUAUCAAACUUCCUCCAUUUCAAUUUUAAAUGCUUUACAUGAACAUUUGAUUUGGGAAACUUCAGUAAACUGGACAUGU